UAUAUAUGAUGAAUGACCAUUGCCUCACCUAUCUUUAGGAAAUAAGAAUGAAAAAGAAAAUCUCCAUUAAUGUUAAAGAAAAACAGGUGGGAGUCUUACCCCGUAUAAACCAGCCUGUUGUAAGGCUGAGGAAGGCACCACGGUUUGCGGAGGGUUUUCUCCAUAGUUUCUGCAUCUUGAAGCCAGACCUUCUCCUCUUCACAUACAGCGAGGCAUCUCAGCCUGGGGACCUGUCCUCCUCCAUCCUGAAGGCACACUGAGCUGCUCUGGCAUUUGGAGACACCAGCCUAUGGUCUCCCCCAGAGGGCGUUUCUGGGUAAACAAGAUCCCCUGUGACCCACCCUUGGGUAUCUGUGCCAGAGACAAAUCUCAUCCUAUGAACUCACCUCUACUGAGAGGGUAAACACAGGAAGAACCUCCUUCAGAGUCAAUUUUCUUUCUAAGCAUUUCAUAUGCAAGUGACCUAAGAUUAAUUUUGGCUUAAAGACACUAUAAACAUCUCUGGGGCACUGGGUUUCAGCAGUUGUUUUUGUUAUACAGUGGAUGGAGCCCUAAGAGUGAGCCAGUAGAGUGCUAGGUCAGCGCUCCUCCACGUGCACAGGUGUGCUGGCUUCACAACCUUAUAAUGUUGAAAAUGUCAUCCUGACCAGACAAUGAGAGGAGAUGUGUAAAAGCACUAGGUGAGCUGUAUACCUUGAAACAAAUAUGAGGCAAUACUACAAGCCCAUGUAGUGUGUGAUCAUUGGUCCU
Molecule: long non-coding RNA, 750 nt
Organism: Suricata suricatta (meerkat)
Lineage: Eukaryota; Metazoa; Chordata; Mammalia; Carnivora; Herpestidae
Source: Ensembl